RNAcentral lists this long non-coding RNA (226 nucleotides) under Mytilus galloprovincialis (Mediterranean mussel). The record is from RNAcentral. Lineage: Eukaryota; Metazoa; Mollusca; Bivalvia; Mytilida; Mytilidae.
AUAAGGUAUCUACACUUCACUGAUACGCACCAGCGAGGUGAGCAAAGAUGGGAGGCUAAUUAUGAUGUAUCUUACAAACUCAGAUAAAUUAAAGACCCCCUUAACAGACAAAAAUGAGAGACCAACAUGUCCCCAAACGAUAGGUGACGAUUCAUGAUACCUUACAAAGGGAGGGAUGCAUUCAAGCAAUUCAUGCCUCCUAAAACAAAGAAAUGGGCCAUCAAAC